This 85-nucleotide transfer RNA is filed under the name Felis catus (domestic cat). It matches the Rfam family "tRNA". From Rfam's summary of the family: Transfer RNA (tRNA) molecules are approximately 80 nucleotides in length. Their secondary structure includes four short double-helical elements and three loops (D, anti-codon, and T loops). The record is from Rfam by way of RNAcentral. Lineage: Eukaryota; Metazoa; Chordata; Mammalia; Carnivora; Felidae. RNAcentral also lists the same sequence under 1 other name.
GCCUGGGUGGCUCAGUUGGUUGAGCGUCUGACUUUGGCUCAGGUCAUGAUCUUGCAGUUCGUGGGUUUGAGCCCUGCAUCGGGCU